AGAUUCCUCAGCUGGAGUUUGAAAUUCCUCCAGAAGCACAACGUGGAUCUUUAUCAACUGUGGAAGGGGUAUUACUAAGAGCUUCUGAAGAAUUGCAAGCCCUUCAAGAAGAGAGAAAGAAAGUGGAUCCUGAAACUACAGAGGCAAUAGACAAGUUUACAUUGAGAUUGAAAGAGUGUGCAACAGGAAAUUUAUCUUUUACCUUCAU
Non-coding RNA from Lactuca sativa (garden lettuce), 208 nucleotides. The record is from RefSeq and is a predicted model, not a curated record. Lineage: Eukaryota; Viridiplantae; Streptophyta; Magnoliopsida; Asterales; Asteraceae.